Molecule: ribosomal RNA, 497 nt
Filed under: uncultured bacterium
Lineage: Bacteria
Description: partial 16S ribosomal RNA
Rfam family: Bacterial small subunit ribosomal RNA
Source: RNAcentral
GAUGAACGCUGGCGGCGUGCCUAAUACAUGCAAGUCGAGCGAACGGACGAGAAGCUUGCUUCUCUGAUGUUAGCGGCGGACGGGUGAGUAACACGUGGAUAACCUACCUAUAGGACUGGGAUAACUUCGGGAAACCGUAUCUAAUACCGGAUAAUAUUUUGAACCGCAUGGUUCAAAAGUGAAAGACGGUCUUGCUGUCACUUAUAGAUGUAUCCGCGCUGCAUUAGCUAGUUGGUAAGGUAACGGCUUACCAAGGCAACGAUGCAUAGCCGACCUGAGAGGGUGAUCAGCCACACUGGAACUGAGACACGGUCCAGACUCCUACGGGAGGCAGCAGUAGGGAAUCUUCCGCAAUGGGCGAAAGCCUGAUCGAGCAACGCCGCGUGAGUGAUGAAGGUCUUCGGAUCGUAAAACUCUGUUAUUAGGGAAGAACAGAUGUGUAAGUAACUGUGCACAUCUUGACGGUACCUAAUCAGAAAGCCACGGCUAACUACGUG